This 406-nucleotide ribosomal RNA is filed under the name uncultured bacterium. RNAcentral describes it as "partial 16S ribosomal RNA". It matches the Rfam family "Bacterial small subunit ribosomal RNA", at positions 30 to 526 of the family's 1533-position model. The record is from RNAcentral.
AUUGAACGCUGGCGGCAGGCCUAACACAUGCAAGUCGAACGAGUGGCGGACGGGUGAGUCAUGUCUGGGAAACUGCCCGAUGGAGGGGGAUAACUACUGGACACGGUAGCUAAUACCGCAUACCAUCAGAUGUGCCCAGAUGGGCUUAGCUAGUUGGUGGGGUAACGGCUCACCAAGGCCACGAUCCCUAGCUGGUCUGAGAGGAUGACCGGCAACACUGGAACUGAGAAACGGUCCAGACUCCUACGGGAGGCAGCAGUGGGGAAUAUUGCACAAUGGGCGCAAGCCUGAUGCAGCCAUGCCGCGUGUAUGAAGAAGGCCUUCGGGUUGUAAAGUACUUUCAGCGGGGAGGCGUUACCCGCAGAAGAAGCAACGGCUAACUCCGUGCCAGCAGCCGCGGUAAUUC